GAAAUUAUUUUUAAUGUAAGUGAGGCGUCCUUAUGAAAAUUUCUAAACCAGCUUAUUUGGUUUUACUUGUUGUUGGCUUGGUUUUUGUUUUUCUAGGACUAUCUAAUAUAGGAAUCUCUAUUUUUUGGGAUUUUAGCGACUUAGAGAAUUUGAUGGUUGGUGGUUUGUUAAUCAUCAUUGGACUCAUCACACUUAGGAUUCGAUAUUCAUUUAAAAAAAGAGGAUAGAAAAAGCACUGCAAUUAUUGAUUGCAGUGCUUUUUCU
Molecule: small RNA, 264 nt
Organism: Listeria monocytogenes EGD-e
Lineage: Bacteria; Bacillati; Bacillota; Bacilli; Caryophanales; Listeriaceae
Rfam family: Listeria sRNA rli40
Source: Rfam